RNAcentral lists this small nucleolar RNA (132 nucleotides) under Chinchilla lanigera (long-tailed chinchilla). RNAcentral's name for it is "Small nucleolar RNA SNORA13 (ENSCLAG00000020169.1)". It matches the Rfam family "Small nucleolar RNA SNORA13". Rfam says of the family: ACA13 is a member of the H/ACA class of snoRNA that guide the sites of modification of uridines to pseudouridines. Lineage: Eukaryota; Metazoa; Chordata; Mammalia; Rodentia; Chinchillidae. The record is from Rfam by way of RNAcentral.
AGUCUUUGUAUAGCCCAUUUGCUUUUGAGAACUAAUGAAUGUGGUGUGAAAACAGACAUAAGUAAACGUCUUGCAGUCUUUUCCUGGCCUUGUACUGGAUAUAUUUGGUGCAGGAACUGCAUAGUAACAACU